This 274-nucleotide ribosomal RNA is filed under the name uncultured bacterium. RNAcentral's name for it is "partial 16S ribosomal RNA". It matches the Rfam family "Archaeal small subunit ribosomal RNA", at positions 473 to 747 of the family's 1478-position model. The record is from RNAcentral.
AAACCAGCACCUCAAGUGGUCAGGAUGAUUAUUGGGCCUAAAGCAUCCGUAGCCGGCUCUGUAAGUUUUCGGUUAAAUCUGUACGCUCAACGUACAGGCUGCCGGGAAUACUGCAGAGCUAGGGAGUGGGAGAGGUAGACGGUACUCGGGAGGAAGUGGUAAAAUGCUUUGAUCUCUCGAUGACCACCUGUGGCGAAGGCGGUCUACCAGAACACGUCCGACGGUGAGGGAUGAAAGCUGGGGGAGCAAACCGGAUUAGAAACCCGUGUAGUCC